UACGUAGGGGGCAAGCGUUGUCCGGAUUUAUUGGGCGUAAAGAGCGUGUAGGCGGCCUGAAAGGUCAGCUGUGAAAACUCGAGGCUCAACCUCGAGACGUCGGUUGAAACCAUCUGGCCAGAGUCCGGAAGAGGAGUGUGGAAUUCCCGGUGUAGCGGUGAAAUGCGCAGAUAUCGGGAAGAACGCCCGUGGCGAAGGCGGCUCUCUGGGACGGUACUGACGCUGAGACGCGAAAGCGUGGGGAGCGAACAGG
This 253-nucleotide ribosomal RNA is filed under the name uncultured bacterium. RNAcentral describes it as "partial 16S ribosomal RNA". It matches the Rfam family "Bacterial small subunit ribosomal RNA", at positions 524 to 776 of the family's 1533-position model. The record is from RNAcentral.